GACGAACGCUGGCGGCGUGCUUAACACAUGCAAGUCGAACGGUGAAGCGCCUUCCUUUUUGGUGGGUGUGGAUGAGUGGCGAACGGGUGAGUAACACGUGAGUAACCUGCCCCCUUCUUCUGGAUAACCGCAUGAAAGUGUGGCUAAUACGGGAUAUUCUGGGUCUGUCGCAUGAUGGGUCUGGGAAAGAUAUUGUUUCGGUGGGGGAUGGGCUCGCGGCCUAUCAGCUUGUUGGUGGGGUGAUGGCCUACCAAGGCGGUGACGGGUAGCCGGCCUGAGAGGGUGGACGGCCACACUGGGACUGAGACACGGCCCAGACUCCGACGGGAGGCAGCAGGGGGGAAUAGUGCACAAUGGGCGCAAGCCUGAUGCAGCGACGCCGCGUGAGGGAUGGAGGCCUUCGGGUUGUGAACCUCUUUCGCCAGUGAAGCAGGCCUGCCUCGUUUGUGGGUGGGUUGACGGUAGCUGGAGAAGAAGCGCCGGCUAACUACGUG
Molecule: ribosomal RNA, 494 nt
Filed under: uncultured bacterium
Lineage: Bacteria
Description: partial 16S ribosomal RNA
Rfam family: Bacterial small subunit ribosomal RNA
Source: RNAcentral